RNAcentral lists this ribosomal RNA (155 nucleotides) under Campylobacter coli. Its description in RNAcentral is "partial 16S ribosomal RNA". It matches the Rfam family "Bacterial small subunit ribosomal RNA", at positions 1 to 149 of the family's 1533-position model. Lineage: Bacteria; Pseudomonadati; Campylobacterota; Epsilonproteobacteria; Campylobacterales; Campylobacteraceae. The record is from RNAcentral. RNAcentral also lists the same sequence under 1 other name.
UUUUAUGGAGAGUUUGAUCCUGGCUCAGAGUGAACGCUGGCGGCGUGCCUAAUACAUGCAAGUCGAACGAUGAAGCUUCUAGCUUGCUAGAAGUGGAUUAGUGGCGCACGGGUGAGUAAGGUAUAGUUAAUCUGCCCUACACAAGAGGACAACAG